UACGAAGGGGGCUAGCGUUGUUCGGAAUUACUGGGCGUAAAGCGCACGUAGGCGGGUUGUUAAGUCAGGGGUGAAAUCCUGGAGCUCAACUCCAGAACUGCCUUUGAAACUGCUUGGCUUGAAUCCUGGAGAGGCGAGUGGAAUUCCGAGUGUAGAGGUGAAAUUCGUAGAUAUUCGGAAGAACACCAGUGGCGAAGGCGACUCGCUGGACAGGUAUUGACGCUGAGGUUCGAAAGCGUGGGGAGCAAACAGG
RNAcentral lists this ribosomal RNA (253 nucleotides) under uncultured bacterium. RNAcentral describes it as "partial 16S ribosomal RNA". It matches the Rfam family "Bacterial small subunit ribosomal RNA", at positions 524 to 776 of the family's 1533-position model. The record is from RNAcentral.